Long non-coding RNA from Onychostruthus taczanowskii (white-rumped snowfinch), 281 nucleotides. RefSeq lists it as uncharacterized. NCBI's taxonomy places the organism in Eukaryota, Metazoa, Chordata, Aves, Passeriformes, Passeridae. The record is from RefSeq and is a predicted model, not a curated record. The transcript is spliced from 3 exons.
CGACUCCAGUCUACAGUAACAGGCUGCUGUACAAUCAAAAUAUAUACUAAUGGUUAUGCAAAACCAGUCUGAUACCUCUGGUCUCAAGCUUUUCCCUUGCAAUGUAAACCUUACCUGCUGAAGAAUGUUGUGUGAUUUAACCCAGAACUCUUUGCAAAACACUGCAAGAUUCCUGAGGGAGAGCUGAGCUGCUGUGCUUGCCCCCACUGCAUCCCUGAGCUCUCCAUGGCAGAGAUGAGGACCCCCAGAUCCUAAUGCCCAGAAAUCAGGGCAAGUCCAGA